RNA transcript from Neofelis nebulosa (Clouded leopard), 2448 nucleotides. It is a transcript of the gene named solute carrier family 41 member 3, with no coding region annotated. The transcript is spliced from 11 exons. The record is from RefSeq and is a predicted model, not a curated record. NCBI's taxonomy places the organism in Eukaryota, Metazoa, Chordata, Mammalia, Carnivora, Felidae.
GCCUAGGCCCGCCCUCGCCAUGUUCUGCGGCUGCUGGGUAUGGUGGCCUGAAGAUCUGGCGUUCCCUGUUUCUUCAUUGAGCCCUCCCCUUGGCCCGCGCGCCUUCUGCUCGCCUCUUUCGCGCUGCUGCCCGGGAGGGGAUCGGGUUAAGGCUGCCAGGGGCUCAGCUCUGCUCACAUGGAUGGGACAGAGACCCGACAGCGGAAGCCAGAGGAGCUGGCUCUGCCACACGCCUUCAGCCCUGGAAGACUCUCUGGAGCCUCAGAAGAUGGACUUCCGAGUGUGUCUGAGAGCCACAGGGUGGUCUCUAAACCACUGGGGUCUGAGUUCAGCAGGGAGACUGCCUUGUCCAUUGGCCUUCAGGUGAUGGUGCCCUUCAUGUUUGCAGGACUGGGACUGUCUGGGGCUGGUAUGCUUUUGAACUAUUUCCAGCACUGGCCUGUGUUUAUGGAGGUUAAAGACCUAUUGACGUUGGUGCCACCCCUGGUGGGCCUGAAGGGGAACCUGGAAAUGACGCUGGCAUCACGACUCUCCACUGCUGCCAACACUGGACAAAUUGAUGACACCCAAGAGCAGCACAGAGUUAUCAGCAGUAACCUCGCCCUCAUUCAGGUGCAGGCCACCGUUGUGGGGUUCCUGGCUGCUGUGGCUGCCCUGCUGCUGGGUGCUAUGUCUAGGGAGGAGUUGGACUUUGUGAAGGUGGAGUUGCUGUGCGCCAGCAGUGUCAUCACCGCCUUUCUCGCUGCAUUUGCCUUAGGAAUGCUGAUGGUCUGCAUAGUAAUUGGUGCUCGAAAGCUUGGGGUCAAUCCAGACAACAUUGCCACGCCCAUUGCUGCCAGCCUGGGAGACCUCAUCACGUUGUCCAUCCUGGCCUUUGUUAGCAGCUUCUUCUAUAAACACAAAGAUAAUCGAUACCUGUUGCUGCUGGUCUGUAUCAGCUUCACGGCCCUGAUCCCCUUGUGGGUCCUCAUUGUCAAGCAGAACCCGCCCAUCAUGAGGAUCCUGAAGUUCGGGUGGUUCCCAAUCAUUCUAGCGAUGGUCAUCAGCAGUUUUGGAGGGCUCAUCUUGAACAAAACCAUUUCUAAACAGCAAUUCCAAGGCAUGGCCAUAUUUACUCCCAUCAUAUGUGGUGUUGGUGGCAAUCUGGUGGCAAUUCAGACCAGCCGGAUCUCCACCUACCUGCACAUGUGGAGCACACCUGGUGUCCUACCCCUCUGGAUGAAACAAUACUGGCCUAACCCAUGCUCCACUUUCUGCACCUCAGAUAUUGAACCAGCCCUGCAUCCUGGGUAUAUAUCCCACUUGGUCAUGGUGAACAAUUCUUUUAAUGUAUUGUUGUAUCUGGUUGGUCGGUUUCCUGUUGAGUAAUUUCACAUCGGUGUUCAUCAGAGAAAUUGGUCUGGAGUUCUCCUUUUUUCGUGGGGUCUUGGUCUGGUUUUGAAAUCAAGGUAAUACUGACUUCCUAGAAUGAGUUUGGAAGCUUUCCUUCCAUUUCUAAUUUUUGGAACAGCUUCAAAAGAAUAGGUGUUAACUCUUCUUUAAAUGUUUGGUAGAAUUCCCCUGGAAAGUUACCCAGCCCUGGACUUUUGGUUUUUUUGGGAGAUUUUUGAUUACUAAUUCUAUUUCUUUACUGGUUAUAGGAGAUUUCUUUUGUAAGAAGUGAUUUUCGAUUAAAUCCCAGGCAUUUGGGGUAUAGGUUAUUAAAUUCUGGAUCUUAUUUAAGUCUUUUUUAGGUACCUCCUCUGACAGUGCACCACUGAAGGAAAGGGAAUAAUACAUUGCUUGCUUACUGCCAGCAUCCAGUCUGGGAUAUAUGAAAUAAACCAGCACCACCCACCAAAACACCAAAACAACAACUCAGGUAACUUACCUCUGUGUUGUUUAUUGAAUCCUGAGGUCCCUGGCCAGCCACUUUUUCUCUCCACCUUUUAAAAUCUUAUGUUUAUUUUAUAUAUAAUGUCCAGCAUUUUUAGUUGUAUUUAGUGAGAGGAUUAGGAAGAGAUGUGUCUACCCCAUCUUGUCUUAACAUGGAAAUUCCCGUUAUUUUUUCUAGUACUGGGAACCACAUUUUAUCUUUUUUUUCUUUAAUUUUAAUUUUAGUUAACAUCAAUGCAAUGUUGGUUUCAGGAGUAGAAUUCAGUGAUUCAUCAUUUACAUACAGCACCCAGUACUCAUCACAACAAGUGCCUUCCUUAAUACCCAUCUCUCAUUUAGCCCAUACCCCCACUCCCCUUGCCUCCAGCAACCCUCAGUUUGUUCUCUAUCAUUAAGGGUCUCUUAUGCUUUGUCUCCCUGUCUUCUCUUUCCACACCCUCUUCCCAUAUGUUCAUCUGUAUUGUUUCUUACAUUCCACAUAUGAGUGAAAUUGUAUGGUAUUUGUCUUUCUCUGAUUGACUUAUUUUACUUAGCAUAAUACAUCCUAGCUCCAUCCACAUUAUUAUAAAUGGC